AUGGACUUGCUAUUCUGUGCAUCUAGUAUUUUUUACACCUUAUGGUGUAUGAGCGGCGGCGACGGCAGCAUCCUAGAAAGCAUCGCCUCCUCCGUCUGCGACAUCUUCGCCUGCGACGGCGGCAUCUGCUCCUGCUUUUGCUGCGGCAGCAUCGGUAUCUGGCCAUGGUGCUGGCUUGGCCGGGAGCUGGCUCAGAGCAGGGG
RNAcentral lists this unclassified non-coding RNA (203 nucleotides) under Mus musculus (house mouse). RNAcentral's name for it is "partial protamin 1 antisense RNA". The record is from RNAcentral. Lineage: Eukaryota; Metazoa; Chordata; Mammalia; Rodentia; Muridae.